RNAcentral lists this ribosomal RNA (119 nucleotides) under Helianthus annuus (common sunflower). The record is from RNAcentral. Lineage: Eukaryota; Viridiplantae; Streptophyta; Magnoliopsida; Asterales; Asteraceae.
GGUUGCGAUCAUACCAGCACUAAUGCACCGGAUCCCAUCAGAACUCCACAGUUAAGCGUGCUUGGGCGAGAGUAGUACUAGGAUGGGUGACCCCCUGGGAAGUCCUCGUGUUGCAACCC